GGGUUGUUAAAGCACUUUCAGUCGUGAGGAAGGUAGUGUAGUUAAUAGCUGCAUUAUUUGACGUUUAGCGACAGAAGAAGCACCGGCUAACUCCGUGCCAGCAGCCGCGGUAAUACGGAGGGUGCGAGCGUUAAUCGGAAUUACUGGGCGUAAAGCGCAUGCAGGUGGUUUGUUAAGUCAGAUGUGAAAGACCCGGGGCGUCAACCUCGGAAUAAGCAUUUGUAAGCUGGCAGACUAGAGUACUGUAGAGGGGGGUAGGAAGUUUCAGGUGUAGCGGUGAAAUAGCGUAGAGAUCUGAAGGAAUACCGGUGGCGAAGGCGGCCCCCUCGGACAGAUACUGACACUCAGAUGCGAAAGCGUGGGGAGCAAACAGGAUUAGAUACCCUGGUAG
Molecule: ribosomal RNA, 391 nt
Filed under: uncultured bacterium
Lineage: Bacteria
Description: bacterial SSU rRNA
Rfam family: Bacterial small subunit ribosomal RNA
Source: RNAcentral